ACUUUCGAAUCGAAACUAUGAAGAAAAGUGGUCAACAGUUUUGACAUUUCUAGUGAAAACAAUUUACACCUGCAAAAUUGCUUUAAAAUAAUCAAAAAUUAACCCCCAAUGUUUAGCUCUGGAUACAAAUCAGAUUUAAAGAACCACAGGGAAAUGAGCUGUGCUUUUGUUCAUCUUCAUCAUUGUCUUGCUUGUGUGAACAGGGUAAUGUUUUUCUUAUGAGCAGAGACAUGAAUUUGGGACAUAGCAAGAGAAAGGUAGCCUAAGGGAAAGAUUAGAGGAAAAGAGAAGAGCUGAGGGAUAUGCCUGGCUCCCUCUCAAAGGAAGAAGCACACACCUUCAUGUCACAAAUUUAGGCCAAAGGGGAAAAAUAGAUUGUCAUAAAGGGAAACGGGAAACAGGAUGUAAAGCAAGAAUGCUUUCCUUUUUCUCUCCGUUAUCCAACUAGGCUUAUAAAGUACAGAGGAGAGACCACUCUUCUAAGACAGAAAACCUGGGAUUUUUCAUGAUUAAUUUUGUGAUCUUGGCCAAGUCAACCUCCCUGAGACUGUUUCCUUAUAUUUGAAAUGAUGGUUGUGUGUUAGAUAAUUUCAAAUCAUGCAGGAGGACUGGGGAGAAUUAAAAUUAGCUAUAUCUCAAUUAUUCAAGUUACAUAGGAUAACUCCAGUAGUACUAAGGACUAUAGAUGUGAUAGAAGCUACGUUUAAUGCAGGACAAUCAGUUAAAUAAUUGUAAUCAUCCAGGUAAGAGAUAAUGAGGAGUUGAACAGUAGAAAUGGAACCAGCAGAUUUAAGAGUUAACUGAAAGAUAAAAGGAGCAGGUGACUGGUGAGGGGCAGCGUGGUACGGUGGUUAAGCUUGUGGGCCCUGGAGACUGAUGAACAGUCUCCAAAUCCCAACUCUGUCACAUACCA
Molecule: long non-coding RNA, 913 nt
Filed under: Homo sapiens (human)
Lineage: Eukaryota; Metazoa; Chordata; Mammalia; Primates; Hominidae
Description: non-protein coding lnc-SGMS2-4:1
Source: RNAcentral